Molecule: transfer RNA, 76 nt
Filed under: Pseudocercospora fijiensis CIRAD86
Lineage: Eukaryota; Fungi; Ascomycota; Dothideomycetes; Mycosphaerellales; Mycosphaerellaceae
Description: tRNA-Ala (TGC) (tRNA-Ala-TGC-2-1)
Source: RNAcentral
GUUAACACCUCUCUUCAGGUGGUAGCGCGUCCGCUUUGCAUGCGGAAGGUCUAGGGUUCGAUCCCCUAGUUGUCCA